RNAcentral lists this ribosomal RNA (251 nucleotides) under uncultured bacterium. Its description in RNAcentral is "partial 16S ribosomal RNA". It matches the Rfam family "Bacterial small subunit ribosomal RNA", at positions 524 to 774 of the family's 1533-position model. The record is from RNAcentral.
UACGUAGGGAGCAAGCGUUAUCCGGAUUUAUUGGGUGUAAAGGGUGCGUAGAUGGAUAAACAAGUUGUUUGUGAAAUACCUCGGCUCAACUGAGGAACUGCAAGCAAAACUGUAUAUCUUGAGUACUGGAGGGGAAAGCGGAAUUCCUAGUGUAGCGGUGAAAUGCGUAGAUAUUAGGAAGAACACCGGUGGCGAAGGCGGCUUUCUGGACAGAAACUGACAUUGAGGCACGAAAGUGUGGGGAGCAAACA